CAUGUCUAAGUAUAAGCAAUUAUACCGCGAAACUGCGAAUGGCUCAUUAUAUAAGUUAUCGUUUAUUUGAUAGCACAUUUACCUACUUGGAUAACCGUGGUAAUUCUAGAGCUAAUACAUGCUAAAAAUCCCGACUUCGGAAGGGAUGUAUUUAUUAGAUUAAAAGCCAACGCCCUUCGGGGCUUCUUGGUGAUUCAUGAUAACUUGUCGAAUCGCAUGGCCUUGCGCCGGCGAUGGUUCAUUCAAAUUUCUUCCCUAUCAACUUUCGAUGCGAGGGUCUUGUCCUCGCAUGGUUGCAACGGGUAACGGAGGGUUAGGGCUCGACCCCGGAGAAGGAGCCUGAGAAACGGCUACUACAUCCAAGGAAGGCAGCAGGCGCGCAAAUUACCCAAUCCCGACACGGGGAGGUAGUGACAAUAAAUACUGAUACAGGGCUCUUUUGGGUCUUGUAAUCGGAAUGAGUACAAUUUAAAUCCCUUAACGAGGAACAAU
RNAcentral lists this ribosomal RNA (492 nucleotides) under Kernia nitida. RNAcentral's name for it is "SSU rRNA". It matches the Rfam family "Eukaryotic small subunit ribosomal RNA", at positions 54 to 548 of the family's 1831-position model. The record is from RNAcentral. Lineage: Eukaryota; Fungi; Ascomycota; Sordariomycetes; Microascales; Microascaceae.